UACGUAGGGGGCAAGCGUUGUCCGGAUUUAUUGGGCGUAAAGAGCGUGUAGGCGGCCAUGCAGGUCAGCUGUGAAAACUCGAGGCUCAACCUCGAGACGUCGGUUGAAACCGCAUGGCUAGAGUCCGGAAGAGGAGAGUGGAAUUCCUGGUGUAGCGGUGAAAUGCGCAGAUAUCAGGAAGAACACCCGUGGCGAAGGCGGCUCUCUGGGACGGUACUGACGCUGAGACGCGAAAGCGUGGGGAGCGAACAGG
Molecule: ribosomal RNA, 253 nt
Filed under: uncultured bacterium
Lineage: Bacteria
Description: partial 16S ribosomal RNA
Rfam family: Bacterial small subunit ribosomal RNA
Source: RNAcentral